Labrus mixtus (cuckoo wrasse) is the source of this 1290-nucleotide long non-coding RNA. RefSeq lists it as uncharacterized. Lineage: Eukaryota; Metazoa; Chordata; Actinopteri; Labriformes; Labridae. The record is from RefSeq and is a predicted model, not a curated record. The transcript has 2 exons.
CCCAGUGUGAACAGCUGAGAGGUGUGAUUUCACAGGCUGGCUCCCCCCUGUCAGGGCCCUGAUUGGGCCGGACAGGAGGCGCAGGAGAGGCCCGGGCUUCUAAAGGACACCAACAGGUGGGAGGCCGCUUUGGAGGGGGGCGCUCCCGAGCGGGAUAGAAAAGGCCGAUCUGCAAGGCCUGCUGUGUGCACAAUCCAUCGGGUCAGAAACGAAGGAGGAUGGUCAUUCACAGGAGAGCUGAGAUGGAGGGAAGAGAGGGGCAUGAGGGAGUUAUUGAAUGGUUUAAAGGAGGAAGAGGGACCCUUUGAGUUGAGUUAGGGCUUAUAAUUGGUGUAAAGGUAAGCUUUUGGUACAAGGAGCAAAGUUGUUCUGAGAUUCAGGACUUUUUUUCAGGUGUUUUUGGUCGAUCUCUGUUAUUUCAAGUUAGCUCUUUAUGUUGGUUAUAGUUUGUUAUUAACUUCACACUUGUUGUCCUACUAGUUUCCUUGAUUUUAACCACAGUUUGAGUAAGAAUCAGGCGUCAAACUGGUAGUUUUAGUCUUUCUGCAAGUUUUACGAUGGACUCGGGGGCCACAGUGGAGGAGCCCGACACUUCUGACAGGUGAGAGGAAGCUGAGGUGUGACACAGGAAAUAAUCAGGAUAUUUUAUUGAUCUGACAUUUGUUUCUCACAGUUCUAUCAAAGUGAAAGGUUAGUCUUUAUGUGGCCAUUUGGUUGGCAGUGGAGUGCUUAGAUUUAUCAAAGAAGUAGUCACAAGUAGAAAGUGUAGCCAGACUAAAGAGGCCUCCAGCUCAACUCCAGCUGCUCGCGAGAAGAGCACAAGAGGAGACGCAACAGACCUCAAGGUAAGGCUGAAGAGGACACGAUGGCCGAACUGCUCCAGAAGAUGAUGUCCAGCUUCUAUUUCUGUUCCUUCUCCUCUCUCAUAUCCUUCCCUUUCUCUCCUCCUCCUCCUCCUCCUCCUCCUCCUCCUCCUCCUCCUCCCUUACUUUCCCUCUGUCUCGCUGAUGCAACACGCCUUGCUGUGGCUGGUCAAACGGAACCAAGUCAGGUGUUUCUGUGAGGUUUGGUCCCCUUCAACCAGCUACUGCGUCGUGAAUUCAGUCAGCAGACACCAGCGUGAAAGAAGCAAAGACACAGAGGCCGUGCGGUGUAAAAACCGUUUACUUAUACACAGGUGUUAGUCUACUGAUAAAUGACCAAUCAUUUCUUAUCUUAGUUGUUUGAUGUCGCUUGUUUCUUGUAUGGAAAUGGAUGCUUAAAAAAUAAAAUUAAAGAUGUGAAAAAAGG